CCUACGGGAGGCAGCAGUGGGGAAUAUUGGACAAUGGGCGAAAGCCUGAUCCAGCCAUGCCGCGUGUGUGAAGAAGGCUUUCGGGUUGUAAAGCACUUUCAGCGAGGAAGAAGGCCUCUGGGUUAAUACCCCAGAGGAAGGACAUCACUCGCAGAAGAAGCACCGGCUAACUCCGUGCCAGCAGCCGCGGUAAU
This 194-nucleotide ribosomal RNA is filed under the name uncultured Halomonas sp. RNAcentral describes it as "partial 16S ribosomal RNA". It matches the Rfam family "Bacterial small subunit ribosomal RNA", at positions 338 to 524 of the family's 1533-position model. Lineage: Bacteria; Pseudomonadati; Pseudomonadota; Gammaproteobacteria; Oceanospirillales; Halomonadaceae. The record is from RNAcentral.